RNAcentral lists this ribosomal RNA (253 nucleotides) under uncultured bacterium. RNAcentral's name for it is "partial 16S ribosomal RNA". It matches the Rfam family "Bacterial small subunit ribosomal RNA", at positions 524 to 776 of the family's 1533-position model. The record is from RNAcentral.
UACGAAGGGGGCUAGCGUUGCUCGGAAUUACUGGGCGUAAAGCGCACGUAGGCGGUCUUUUAAGUCGGGGGUGAAAUCCUGGAGCUCAACUCCAGAACUGCCUUCGAUACUGGAAGACUUGAGUCCGGGAGAGGUGAGUGGAACUGCGAGUGUAGAGGUGAAAUUCGUAGAUAUUCGCAAGAACACCAGUGGCGAAGGCGGCUCACUGGCCCGAUACUGACGCUGAGGUGCGAAAGCGUGGGGAGCAAACAGG